Non-coding RNA from Pelobates cultripes (western spadefoot toad), 1004 nucleotides. NCBI's taxonomy places the organism in Eukaryota, Metazoa, Chordata, Amphibia, Anura, Pelobatidae. The record is from the annotation of a GenBank genome assembly.
CAACCAUAAUAGGGGAGUCUCUCCACUGGAGGUGGCAUUGCGGUGCCCGGUGCUAACGAAUGUCCAGCGUGAGGUCAGUGGCCUCUUGUGGGGUAUCUGUGCGGGUUUUCCUCUGCUGUGUACUCUCGCGGGCUUAUGCCUGGGGUGCAUAUAGUUGCCAAGCUGGUCGCUCAUUGCAGGGUCCCCCCAGCUCCCCUGGCGUGACCAAUCCCCUCUAUUCCCCUCCAGGCCUGCUCCGGUCGGUCAUUCGAGGGUUCCACAAUGCUGUGGGCACUCAGGGAUGUCGGCAGCCCGGCAGACUCCCGCCCCUGCAAAGUCCUCGGGCCCCUCGUCCCCUGCACCUCCCCAACUCCUGCAGUUCCCCGUUGAGCUCCAGCCCCGUUAGGCCUUACCCCUCUCCGGCCUCUUGCAUGUCGCCAGCGCUUGUCUCCCCGGCCACCGGUCCGCCGGGGGUCCAGCUUGCCCCGACGUCAUAGGGCUCACAAAUCCAGGGGUUAGGGCCGGCUCUGUGCCGACCGUUUUGCUGCCCGGUGGAGUCUGUCUGUGGGAUCCGCCACCCCUAAGGGUCCAGGCGUCCCCGCGUGGCUCCCAGUAGCGAGCGUGUUCCGCGGCCAUCUUGGCUCCACUGGAGAAAGGGCUCCGCCAUGCGUGGGUCUUCUGCCUUCAGUCUCCAGAAAAUGGACUCAUGGGCCGGGAUCACCCCCGCCGGCCCGAGGGGAGGGGGGAGCGGGGCCGGGUCCGGUCCCCACCUCUCUCUCGUCUGGGCUCGCGGCUUCUGCGUGCAUGCCUCAUGGGUUCCUCGUGCUCUGGCAGGGCAGGUUGUUCGGCGUCGGCUUGGCAGAUUGAGCUCCUGUGCCUCUCCCCGCUUGGUGCUUAUGUCUGCCCUGGCUUCAGGUGGGCUUUUAGUGCUAUAUUUUGUUUUAUUUUGUUUUAUUUAAGCGAUCCGGAGCCGGAGCUGGCAUGGAUGGCUGCCGCUCAGCUCGGCGGCCCGGCCCCGCCCCCUC